GAUGAACGCUGACAGAAUGCUUAACACAUGCAAGUCAACUUGAAUUUGGGUUUUUAACUUAGAUUUGGGUGGCGGACGGGUGAGUAACGCGUAAAGAACUUGCCUCACAGCUAGGGACAACAUUUAGAAAUGAAUGCUAAUACCUGAUAUUAUGAUUUUAAGGCAUCUUAGAAUUAUGAAAGCUAUAAGCACUGUGAGAGAGCUUUGCGUCCCAUUAGCUAGUUAGAGAGGUAACAGCUCACCAAGGCGAUGAUGGGUAGCCGGCCUGAGAGGGUGAACGGCCACAAGGGGACUGAGACACGGCCCUUACUCCUACGGGAGGCAGCAGUGGGGAAUAUUGGACAAUGGACCGAGAGUCUGAUCCAGCAAUUCUGUGUGCACGAUGAAGUUUUUCGGAAUGUAAAGUGCUUUCAGUUGGGAAGAAAAAAAUGACGGUACCAACAGAAGAAGUGACGGCUAAAUACGUGCCAGCAGCCGCGGUAAUACGUAUGUCACGAGCGUUACCCGGAUUUAUUGGGCGUAAAGCGCGUCUAGGUGGUUAUGUAAGUCUGAUGUGAAAAUGCAGGGCUCAACUCUGUAUUGCGUUGGAAACUGUAUAACUAGAGUACUGGAGAGGUAAGCGGAACUACAAGUGUAGAGGUGAAAUUCGUAGAUAUUUGUAGGAAUGCCGAUGGGGAAGCCAGCUUACUGGACAGAUACUGACGCUAAAGCGCGAAAGCGUGGGUAGCAAACAGG
RNAcentral lists this ribosomal RNA (735 nucleotides) under uncultured Fusobacterium sp. RNAcentral's name for it is "bacterial SSU rRNA". It matches the Rfam family "Bacterial small subunit ribosomal RNA", at positions 28 to 776 of the family's 1533-position model. Lineage: Bacteria; Fusobacteriati; Fusobacteriota; Fusobacteriia; Fusobacteriales; Fusobacteriaceae. The record is from RNAcentral.